This 77-nucleotide transfer RNA is filed under the name Oryzomicrobium terrae. RNAcentral's name for it is "tRNA-Val". It matches the Rfam family "tRNA". Rfam says of the family: Transfer RNA (tRNA) molecules are approximately 80 nucleotides in length. Their secondary structure includes four short double-helical elements and three loops (D, anti-codon, and T loops). Further hydrogen bonds mediate the characteristic L-shaped molecular structure. tRNAs have two regions of fundamental functional importance: the anti-codon, which is responsible for specific mRNA codon recognition, and the 3' end, to which the tRNAs corresponding amino acid is attached (by aminoacyl-tRNA synthetases). tRNAs cope with the degeneracy of the genetic code in two manners: having more than one tRNA (with a specific anti-codon) for a particular amino acid; and 'wobble' base-pairing, i.e. permitting non-standard base-pairing at the 3rd anti-codon position. The record is from RNAcentral. RNAcentral also lists the same sequence under 1 other name. Lineage: Bacteria; Pseudomonadati; Pseudomonadota; Betaproteobacteria; Rhodocyclales; Rhodocyclaceae.
GGGUGGUUAGCUCAGUUGGUAUGAGCGUUGCCUUCACACGGCAAAGGUCACAGGUUCGAGCCCUGUACCACCCACCA